Molecule: long non-coding RNA, 733 nt
Organism: Acanthopagrus latus (yellowfin seabream)
Lineage: Eukaryota; Metazoa; Chordata; Actinopteri; Spariformes; Sparidae
Exons: 3
Source: RefSeq, a predicted model, not a curated record
GUCAACACAAUGUCAUGUAUAGCAGCUGGAACUGGAACAGGGAAAAAAAAAAAGGAAAAAAAAAUCAGGAGCCUCCUAGUACAGGCGGUAUGAGUAAGGUUGAUUGCAGAAAGUAACUCAUUUCAUCAUUUCGGUUUUGAUCUGAGACACUAAUGACUGUACAGCUUUGCAGAAGCCUCAUGAGUGCGAAGUUAAUCACCGACGGAGCAAAACCAAAGAUAAAACUAAAUCAGCAACUUCCACUUAGAAGCUGAGCUGUGAGCUCUGACAUGAAAUGUUCGGAGUUGAGAUAUUACACACUGCUAACAGCGAGGGCCCCGACACAUGAGAGCAACAUCAAAGAACAAGCGGCAAGGAAACCCAACCGUCACGUCGUCUCACGACACCUGUGUCUCGCUUAAAAAGCUGCACUCAAACGCACCACGGACUCUACAGCUGACAGCCGGCCUGCGUGUAUGUUCUGCACCUGCAUACCGCCAGGUGACGGUCAGGUAUUUGAUAACUCCAAUCGUGUGUCCGUGGAUACAAACCUGCAAACACACACACACUGGGGUGCCAGUACCUGCCUGCACACACACCCAGUAGGCUGCAACGCCAGGUUGUUUAGAAUUCAGUGUGGCCCACAGGCACAUCAGAGAAAAGGCCACGACCUCUGAGGAAUGGAGAUGAGGAGAACUCCACAGAUUUCUGCACCGUGUUCUUUUACUUUCUGACUUCCUGAAACAGAUUCAUG